CUUUGAUUUUCUUUUUCGGUCUAACUAAGGAAAGGGGGUCUCCACUUCCAUUUUUGUUGAGAUGUGAUGACCACACAGGAAAGGGUUUCCACCAGAGCAACCCUUUCCUUCUCUUUCGCUCGGCAGCCACGGCAGCAGCUUAGAGGCGGCGACGUUAGUGUCUUGGUGGCAGCGAGUUUGCGGCUUAGGGAGGUGGAGGCGCGAAUGAGGGUAAUCGGCUUUGUCGCGGUGGCGCGAUGUUGAAGGUGAGGAAACGUGAGAGAAGCGACAGCCCCAGAGCGGCGGCAGUUUCCGAUUAAAAGAGAACGACGGAGUCAAGGAGGAUGGCUCGUGGUCACAGGGAUCGUCGCAGCAGUGACAGUUGACGAAAGCAGUGAUGACGGCUGAGAUCCGAAAGAGAAACGUCGAGCUGGGUGGUGUCCGCGGUGGAGGAGAAUGUUGCGGUGGUGGCGGAUAAGGGUCGCACGACAAAGAGGGUGGCUCGCGAUGGUGAUAUUGAACAAAGGGAAGGGUAUCUGCGGCCAAGGAUAGGCGGGAAUCAGGGCUCACAGUGGCUUACGGCGGAGGUGUUGAUGGCUGUCACGGUGGAAGAGACGGUGAGAUUGGAAGAGCGGCGGGGAAAGAUGAUAUCGAGAAUGAAACGAGAAUGGAG
Molecule: small RNA, 652 nt
Filed under: Vigna angularis var. angularis
Lineage: Eukaryota; Viridiplantae; Streptophyta; Magnoliopsida; Fabales; Fabaceae
Description: Non-protein coding transcript
Source: RNAcentral